Molecule: ribosomal RNA, 1038 nt
Filed under: uncultured bacterium
Lineage: Bacteria
Description: bacterial SSU rRNA
Rfam family: Bacterial small subunit ribosomal RNA
Source: RNAcentral
AGAGUUUGAUCCUGGCUCAGGACGAACGCUGGCGGCGUGCCUAAUACAUGCAAGUCGAGCGGAUCUUCAUUAGCUUGCUUUUGAAGAUCAGCGGCGGACGGGUGAGUAACACGUGGGCAACCUGCCUGUAAGACUGGGAUAACUUCGGGAAACCGGAGCUAAUACCGGAUAAUCCUUUCCCUCACAUGAGGGAAAGCUGAAAGACGGUUUCGGCUGUCACUGCAGGAUGGGCCCGCGGCGCAUUAGCUAGUUGGUGGGGUAAUGGCCUACCAAGGCGACGAUGCGUAGCCGACCUGAGAGGGUGAUCGGCCACACUGGGACUGAGACACGGCCCAGACUCCUACGGGAGGCAGCAGUAGGGAAUCUUCCACAAUGGACGAAAGUCUGAUGGAGCAAUGCCGCGUGAGCGAAGAAGGUUUUCGGAUCGUAAAGCUCUGUUGUGAGGGAAGAACAAGUACAGGAGUAACUGUCUGUACCUUGACGGUACCUCAUUAGAAAGCCACGGCUAACUACGUGCCAGCAGCCGCGGUAAUACGUAGGUGGCAAGCGUUGUCCGGAAUUAUUGGGCGUAAAGCGCGCGCAGGCGGUCCUUUAAGUCUGAUGUGAAAGCCCACGGCUCAACCGUGGAGGGUCAUUGGAAACUGGAGGACUUGAGUGCAGAAGAGGAGAGUGGAAUUCCACGUGUAGCGGUGAAAUGCGUAGAGAUGUGGAGGAACACCAGUGGCGAAGGCGACUCUCUGGUCUGUAACUGACGCUGAGGCGCGAAAGCGUGGGUAGCGAACAGGAUUAGAUACCCUGGUAGUCCACGCCGUAAACGAUGAGUGCUAAGUGUUAGAGGGUUUCCGCCCUUUAGUGCUGCAGUUAACGCAUUAAGCACUCCGCCUGGGGAGUACGGCCGCAAGGCUGAAACUCAAAGGAAUUGACGGGGGCCCGCACAAGCGGUGGAGCAUGUGGUUUAAUUCGAAGCAACGCGAAGAACCUUACCAGGUCUUGACAUCCUCUGACAACCCUAGAGAUAGGGCGUUCCCCUUCGGGGGA